AUCUGCCUAUGCAGCUGCGAGCCGGGCUUUCGGGAGCUGGGUCGAUCAAGCUCUGGUUGUGGGAAGCUUCCGUGGUAUUGGUUCAAGCCGGCAGUAAGACCACCACCGGACAUGGGAAUCUAUUUUCCGGGAAGACAUCUAAACAAUGCAGUAGCAGAUUUGUCGAAGCCUAUCGUCCUCAAUGCUUUAAACAACCUCUUGGCGAAAGGGUACAGGUCGUUUGGGGUGAUGAAUAUGUUUGGGCCACCCGAGCUACUUUCUGGUCAGAAUGGCAUCGCCCUGGGACGUCUUUUCGAUGUUGCUUUGAGGAGUAUGCGAAGAUGAAAGCAUGCAGGAAAGGCAGGAGCCUCUGUGAACUGCCUCUCAUACGACUGGCGAAGAUAGUAACAGUACUACCAUGAGGAGUAGCUUCUCAAAGAAAACAAAAAGGAGUCUCCAAAUGAAGAACUGAUUGAUGCAGACGUACCCAUAUCUAAUGGAUGCCAGAAGGGUACGUAGUUUGUCUGUAUCACUACUAAAUAAUUAGCAUCCAUGCUUGCUUGUGU
This is a long non-coding RNA of Ornithodoros turicata, 545 nucleotides long. RefSeq lists it as uncharacterized. The transcript has 5 exons. Lineage: Eukaryota; Metazoa; Arthropoda; Arachnida; Ixodida; Argasidae. The record is from RefSeq and is a predicted model, not a curated record.